AGUUGAUCUCUUCGGAGUGAAGCUAGCGGCGGACGGCUGAGUAACACGUGGGCAACCUGCCUCAUAGAGGGGAAUAGCCUCCCGAAAGGGAGAUUAAUACCGCAUAAGAUUGUAGCUUCGCAUGAAGUAGCAAUUAAAGGAGCAAUCCGCUAUAAGAUGGGCCCGCGGCGCAUUAGCUAGUUGGUGAGGUAACGGCUCACCAAGGCGACGAUGCGUAGCCGACCUGAGAGGGUGAUCGGCCACAUUGGGACUGAGACACGGCCCAGACUCCUACGGGAGGCAGCAGUGGGGAAUAUUGCACAAUGGGGGAAACCCUGAUGCAGCAACGCCGCGUGAGUGAUGACGGCCUUCGGGUUGUAAAGCUCUGUCUUUGGGGACGAUAAUGACGGUACCCAAGGAGGAAGCCACGGCUAACUACGUGCCAGCAGCCGCGGUAAUACGUAGGUGGCGAGCGUUGUCCGGAUUUACUGGGCGUAAAGGGAGCGUAGGCGGACUUUUAAGUGAGAUGUGAAAUACCCGGGCUCAACUUGGGUGCUGCAUUUCAAACUGGAAGUCUAGAGUGCAGGAGAGGAGAAUGGAAUUCCUAGUGUAGCGGUGAAAUGCGUAGAGAUUAGGAAGAACACCAGUGGCGAAGGCGAUUCUCUGGACUGUAACUGACGCUGAGGCUCGAAAGCGUGGGGAGCAAACAGGAUUA
This 694-nucleotide ribosomal RNA is filed under the name uncultured bacterium. Its description in RNAcentral is "bacterial SSU rRNA". It matches the Rfam family "Bacterial small subunit ribosomal RNA", at positions 69 to 780 of the family's 1533-position model. The record is from RNAcentral.